AUGACAGGAACACAGCACAAGCCUGGGCUACACCCCUUUUCUGGCCGUGAGGUUCCCAUCUCGAAUGGUUCUGGCUUUAUAAUAAGUAGUGAUGACCUCAUAGUGACAAAUGGCCAUGUGGUCGCCAACAAGCGUGGUGUUCGUGUCAAACUGACCAAUGGUGAGACAUACAACGCCACAGUUCAGGAUGUGGACCAGGCUGCAGACAUCGCCACCAUCAAAAUCAAUGUUAAGAAUCCUUUACCAACGUUGCGUCUUGGCAAGUCAUCUGAUGUGCGUCAAGGUGAAUUUGUGGUUGCCAUGGGGAGCCCCUUUUCUCUUAAAAACACCAUCACAUCUGGAAUCGUCAGCUCUGCUCAAAGAGGCAGUAAAGAACUGGGUCUCUCCAACUCCAACAUGGACUACAUCCAGACGGACGCUACCAUAGAUUUUGGAAAUUCAGGAGGGCCUCUCAUAAACCUGGAUGGUGAGGUCAUCGGCAUUAAUACCAUGAAAGUGACAGCAGGGAUUUCCUUCGCUAUUCCCUCAGACAGAGUCCGUCUCUUCCUAGACCGAUCUGUAGAUAGAGUAAGAAUGACCUCACAGCUGCUUGCUUUUGUCUGUGACAGCAUUUUUUUUCACUGACAGAUGGUUAUUGGGUCUUUUUUUCAGACUCUUGGUUUGGAGAAUCGGGAUCGAAAAGGCGUUACAUUGGAGUGAUGAUGUUGACUUUGACCCCCAG
Danio rerio (zebrafish) is the source of this 721-nucleotide non-coding RNA. Lineage: Eukaryota; Metazoa; Chordata; Actinopteri; Cypriniformes; Danionidae. The record is from RefSeq and is a predicted model, not a curated record.